This 400-nucleotide ribosomal RNA is filed under the name Miomantis sp. 1. RNAcentral describes it as "partial 12S ribosomal RNA". Lineage: Eukaryota; Metazoa; Arthropoda; Insecta; Mantodea; Mantidae. The record is from RNAcentral.
CCCUAUUAUUUUUAUUGUAAAUUAAAUUAAACUAGAGUAUUAAUAGAUAAAUCUUAAAACUUAAAGAAUUUGGCGGUAUUAUAGUCUAUUUAGAGGAAUCUGUUAUGUAAUCGAUAAUCCGCGUUAAACCUUACUUGUAUUAAUUCUUGUAUAUCGCUGUUUAUGAAUAUAUUUUAAGAUAAUUUUCUAAAUAUUAAAGUAAUUAAGAUUUCAAGUCAAGGUGCAGUAAUAUAUAAGUUGAAUAAUGGAUUACAAUAAAUUAUAUUUAAAAUGGAAAAUUAAUUUAAAAAUAAUUUAAAGGUGGAUUUAAAGGUAAUUUUAUGAAGAUUAUUAAAAUGAUUGUUAGCUCUAUAAUAUGCACACAUCGCCCGUCAUUCUCGUUAUUAAGAUGAGAUAAGUC